GAUGAACGCUGGCGGCGUGCCUAAUACAUGCAAGUCGAGCGAACGGACGAGAAGCUUGCUUCUCUGAUGUUAGCGGCGGACGGGUGAGUAACACGUGGAUAACCUACCUAUAAGACUGGGAUAACUUCGGGAAACCGGAGCUAAUACCGGAUAAUAUUUUGAACCGCAUGGUUCAAAAGUGAAAGACGGUCUUGCUGUCACUUAUAGAUGGAUCCGCGCUGCAUUAGCUAGUUGGUAAGGUAACGGCUUACCAAGGCAACGAUGCAUAGCCGACCUGAGAGGGUGAUCGGCCACACUGGAACUGAGACACGGUCCAGACUCCUACGGGAGGCAGCAGUAGGGAAUCUUCCGCAAUGGGCGAAAGCCUGACGGAGCAACGCCGCGUGAGUGAUGAAGGUCUUCGGAUCGUAAAACUCUGCUAUUAGGGAAGAACAUAUGUGUAAGUAACUGUGCACAUCUUGACGGUACCUAAUCAGAAAGCCACGGCUAACUACGUG
This 497-nucleotide ribosomal RNA is filed under the name uncultured bacterium. Its description in RNAcentral is "partial 16S ribosomal RNA". It matches the Rfam family "Bacterial small subunit ribosomal RNA", at positions 28 to 507 of the family's 1533-position model. The record is from RNAcentral.